Molecule: ribosomal RNA, 301 nt
Filed under: uncultured bacterium
Lineage: Bacteria
Description: partial 16S ribosomal RNA
Rfam family: Bacterial small subunit ribosomal RNA
Source: RNAcentral
CAGCCGCCGCGGGAAUACGUAGGGUGCGAGCGUUAAUCGGAAUUACUGGGCGUAAAGCGAGCGCAGACGGUUAUUUAAGCAGGAUGUGAAAUCCCCGGGCUUAACCUGGGAACUGCGUUCUGAACUGGAUAGCUAGAGUGUGUCAGAGGGGGGUAGAAUUCCACGUGUAGCAGUGAAAUGCGUAGAAAUGUGGAGGAAUACCGAUGGCGAAGGCAGCCCCCUGGGAUAACACUGACGUUCAUGCUCGAAAGCGUGGGUAGCAAACAGGAUUAGAUACCCGAGUAGUCCCUGUCUCUUAUAC